RNAcentral lists this ribosomal RNA (440 nucleotides) under uncultured bacterium. RNAcentral describes it as "partial 16S ribosomal RNA". It matches the Rfam family "Bacterial small subunit ribosomal RNA", at positions 338 to 795 of the family's 1533-position model. The record is from RNAcentral.
CCUACGGGGGGCAGCAGUGGGGGAUAUUGCACAAUGGGGGGAACCCUGAUGCAGCGACGCCGCGUGAGUGAAGGAGCGUUUCGGCGCGUAAAGCCCUAUCGGCAGGGAAGAAGAUGACGGUACCUGACCAAGAAGCCCCGGCUAACUACGUGCCAGCAGCCGCGGUAAGACGUAGGGGGCAAGCGUUAUCCGGAUUGACUGGGUGUAAGGGGGGCGCAGACGGCAAUGCAAGCCAGGAGUGAAAGCACGGGGCCCAACCGCGGGACUGCUCUUGGAACUGCAUGGCUAGAGUACAGUAGGGGCAGGCGGAAUUCCUAGGGUAGCGGUGAAAUGCGUAGAUAUUAGGAGGAACACCGGUGGCGAAGGCGGCCUGCUGGACUGUGACUGACGUUGAGGCCCGAAGGCGUGGGGAGCAAACAGGAUUAGAUACCCGGGUAGUC